AGUUCAGCUUACUCUUAUUGUACAUAGAAGCAGCCGCUAAUAGAAAUAUGGUGGAAGUAGAUGUGGGGGCGCAAGUGGGAAUAAGAACAAUGUGGAGGACUAAAGGGUGAAAACAGAAGUUAGAAGAACUUUUGGACUUAGAAAAUAAGCUAUUAUAGACUAUAGUUUGAAUAUGAAAUACAGUGGCUUUAAUUUAAGGGAGUGAUUAUAUUUUUUUUUUACAUUUUUUUUUUUAAUAUUUCUUAAUAGUUUAUGGUAAAGAUGUAAAUAUGGUUUUGUAGUAGGGUUAGCAAUGGGAUAACAAUGUACCCCUUGAAAAUACUUUUAUGCUGUUUAUAUAUGGAAUGGAAUAAUAUUUUAUAAUGUAAUUUUUUUUUUGAAGAAAAAAAAGAGUCUUUUGAUGCUUUAAAUUUCUGAGCAUUGCAUUGUUGUUAUUUUGGGAAAGUCUUUUUGGACGGUCGAGGUAACUCCAGAUGAAUGGGGCCCACGGUGGCCGCCUCGUGGGAUUGGUAGAAAGAAAGGCGGUAUCACUCCCAUUACGUGUCAUUUGCUGAUUGG
RNAcentral lists this long non-coding RNA (558 nucleotides) under Coffea arabica (coffee). Its description in RNAcentral is "long non-coding RNA (CARA_LNC005542)". Lineage: Eukaryota; Viridiplantae; Streptophyta; Magnoliopsida; Gentianales; Rubiaceae. The record is from RNAcentral.